UUGUCCUUGGGCCUGUCCUGGUUCCUAGGGGUUCAGUUUACUGGGAUGGGCGCUGACAGUGCUUUAAUCCCAGAGUACGAACUCUGCCUGGGGAAAGGAGGGGGUUUGCGAGGAAUGCAGCCCUCAGACAAGUCAUAGGCUCACUGGUGUGGGAUGAAGGCUCCUCCUGAUAGUUACAGACAGCAGCAGAAUUCCAAGUAACACCUGUAGCAGCUGGUUGAGCUGUGUUUGGGAGUGCAGGACUCCUGGGUUCUAUGGCCAGCUGGGCUAGUGCUGCUCUGUGAAUAGUCGUGUCCCCUCUCUGUACCCUGGUUCCCUGUAUUUGCAGUGGUGAUAAUUCUACCCCCGCCCCUGCUGUGUCAGUAUUUUAAACAUUGGGCCAGCUCAGGAGUCAAUACUCUAUAGUUCUUAACUUGCCCUCUCUAGCAGGCUUAGAACUAGGGCAGAUGGAAGCUCUUUUUAGCCUCAAGAUGAGCUCCCCUUAUUCACACCCACCUCUAGUGGAGAAUCCAAUCAGGAAAGGCUGAAGCUGGCUGGGGAUAGGGAUCAGAUGAAAAGGGCCAGAGGUGGGGGAUCAAGCUCCUGCAGUCUCAAGCAGGGAGAAGGGUAUGGAGGAAGGAUCCCCUUGAGACUACUUAAUUCUUAAUGGGCUGCUCUUGUGAUUAGGGUGCUGGCUUCCUGGCUUGCCAGAGAAUGGGUGUUGUCUGUGCACCCCUCUUCCUGAUAGGCUGGGGCUGAGCAUAGUGAGCUGUUCUUUCCUUUUAAGAUACCAUAUGCUGGGGUAGGUUGGAAUUGUAUGGGACCUCCCAGCCUAUGCUGUGGUGGAGAUGGCAGCUUUGCUAUACCCUGCUGCUUUGCCCUAGCAGCAGAGAAUUAACCUGGGGGCAAAGUUCCUCUCCCUUGUGCUGUUUCAGUUGCACUCAGAGACUUUCUCGUCUGUACUGAACAGCAGCUCCACCCCAGAAGCAGCUCCUGGGCUCCUCAUAUGCUGUGCUGUCAGGAUGACCCAGCAGUAGUUAUCCCAGUAGUAACAAGGGCAGUCCUACCCAGCCAGUUAUCACUGCCCCUUAGUGUGUGGGACGCCUGGGCUGUGGCAGGGCAGCUAAGCAUGGAGGAUGCCAUGGGGUCAUCUGUUAAUGCAAGAGGCAGCAACAGCUUCUCCCUCUACCAAAUAGGGCAUUAGGCUGGGCAGGGCAGAAAUGCCAGCUGAGAACAGCUUGAUUUCUAGAUGCACAGCUCUCUGCAGGGCACAUGCUCAGCACCCCUACUAUAUUUGCAACCACAAAGGAAAUGCACCUCAUUUGAAUGCAGUGGGCCAAAGCAGGCGGCCUGAAUGCACCAACCAAGCUGCAGCUGUGAUUGUGUUACUGGGCUGUUAUUCUUGCAGCUGGCUUGGCUAGGGAAAGCAUUUUAGCUUAACAUGCAGGGGGCAGAAACAGCCUGGCCCCACUCUCUCUUCCCAUGCUAGCUGUCCUAUUCCCAAUGGGGAGAGACAGAGACUGAUAUUCCAGUUCAGAUCCACAGUGGCAGUUUUCUUUGUUCUGAUCCAGGACUGAAAUUAACCCUGAAGCCAUGCCCCUCGCCCUUGUGCUGUAACACUCCACCUCCCUGCAGCAGCUGUUUGCAGUCGGAUCACAGCACUAGAACAGCAAGGAGCCAGCUAGAGUCCCCUUAGAUGCAGGCACUGCUUCUCUGUGCCCGGGAGAGGUUGUUAGAGGAGAAUGGUACAGAGAUGAUUUAAGGGGCUGGAGGAAAGUUAGAUGAGAGACCCUGUAACUAGGCUUAGCAGUGGGUGAGGUUAACUCUUUAAGUACCCAAAUGGUGAAAUGCAAUAGAUUCCCCCCACUCUGCUGGGCUAUUUAGGGUGUACACUUGCUUAGCAGCACCAUGUGGGGUAUAAUUUUCCCCAAGGGAUGGGAGCUUAUGUAUUUGGGGUCCCAUGCCCUAGGACUGGCUGGAGCAAACCAAUUAGCCUUCAUGUGGCUUUAAUUUGCAAGGCCCCUCACACUGGGUAAGUUCUCCCUGUUUAACACAGAAAUCUGAGGCAUGUGGGUGUGUGUCACUGCUGCUUACAGAGGAUGUUGGGUAGAGAGCCAGGAUUGGAACCCAGGAGUCCUCAUCCUGGAGCUAGAGCUGGUUUAUGCCUAUUUUGCAGCUACUUGAGUUCAGAGGCUGCAGAGUGCAGUGAUCAAAGCUUUCCACCUUGCUAGAGAUCUCUCUGAAACAUGCUGCCUUUGGCAAGGAGAUGGGACCCUUCACAUAGCUAGUGGAUUUUAUUUCCUACAGUGGAACCUGGAGGAACCAGUCAAGGUCAGGGCCCCAUUGUGCCAGGUGCUGGAGACACACAGUGAAAGACAGUCUCUGCCCCAGAGAGUUUUCAGUUGAAAUAGUCAAAGAGUGAGAGUGGAAGGUCACCCCACAGCUCAGUGGCAGAGCUGGGAAUAGAACCCAGGCAUCCUGAGUCCUUUUCUAACAUCCUAGUCACUGAAAGAUCUACAGAAUCUCAUCCAAAACUCAGCCCAUUUGGAAGAAGGUGCCACCUUCUAGACUUAGACCCAAAGAUGUUCUAAAUCACAGAUCUGCUCUAUCUGCUUCCCCUGGAGGUGGAGUGGGAUUUGAGAUAGGGGCAACAGGGUGGAUGGGCCUAUGGCCCCACAGAAAGCUUGCCCACUCAUAUGCUAGGCCAGAGAGAUCAGCAUUUUAAUUCUACCUAAGAAACCUUAGUUACAUUUCCCCCUCCAAGACUAGACAUAGAAAACCAGGAUUAUUCCAAACAUCCCCCAGAGAAACCAGGGAGAGAUGGACACUUCAUGCCCCCUUUAUCUAAUGUGGAAUUGUCCUGCCAGACCCCUCCUUCCCAAUGGGUGGAGCUAGCUGCCCAGCCAAUGUGGUGUUGGGAUAGCUGGGUGGGUCCUCAAAUCCCUGUUGACCAAAGGAUACCAUCCUGAUGCUGAUUGGCUGGAUGGUUAGAGAAAUAGCAGGAGUUUGGGGCAGGUGUGACAGGCAUUUGAGGGGGAUGAGAGCCAGUGGCAGUGACUGGGUAUUGGUCACCGGUCUUGGAAGCUGCAGAGGAAAAUGACCCAGAGAGAUGCUGCAGGCUGCUACAGCUUCCCCCUUUCCAGGAUCACUCCACUGAAGGCCAUGGCUGGUGCUGGCAGCUGGUGGGAAGAUCCCAGCACCCCGUUCAGAGCUGGCGAGCUGAGGGACAGGCCGGUGUCUCUCAGGAAGCACCUGAGGAGCCAGAAGGAGAAGCAGAGCAUUGCUGAGCGACUGAGCCUCAGUUUCAGCUUGGUGCCCAGGAAGUCUCCCCUGGGCUAUUACCUGGGCAGGCUUGUGCCCUCCAAGACCUGCUCUUUCCGCCAGAGCCUGCCUGUGGAGGCCAGCCUGGGCAUUGCCUGGCAGCCUGUGGUGCACUCUCCCAACACCAUCACCUCCCGCAGGGCUUCUGCAGGGGCCUGGCAGGCUAGCACUGCCCUGAGAACAGGCCGUGCCACAGACCAGACCCAGCUCAAGGGCAGCAGGAUCCUGACCAAGCCAGCUCUUGGUAGAGUGAGACCCAUCUCCUCUCCCAGGGCAGUGAUGCUGUUUGAGCUGCCCCGUCCUGCUGCCCAGAAGCCCAAACCCACCAGCAGGCACAAGCUUGCUGCGGUCAAACCAGCCAUCAAUGCCAGGAGGGCCCAGCUGGCAGAAUGGCAAGCUGCCAAGGGCAAGGUUCUGAAGAGGCCCCCUUGUGUAAUGGUCCCUGCUCCUCCGAAGAGAUGCUUGUCCAAGGAGCCCUCUGUCCUGUCCUCCUGGACCACCAUAAUGGAUGAAGAGGAGAUGAAAUCGGAGCCGGACCAAGCCAGCCUGGCAGUUCUGGAGUAGCCCAGCCAAGCUGGCGGGGGCGCCCGCAGGGAGGAGGUACCUCCAUGGGACCCAGCCACUCAGGAGGCCCAGGACUCUGAGUACUGGGUCCAUCUUGAACAGCCUGCAGGGGCUGCUGGGAGUGCCUGCCCUGCUGGCAAGGGGCCUGAGCAUCUAGCAGAUGAGCAGUGUGGAUCAGCGAGGGCUGUGGACAAUGGCAAGAGACUCCUGUAUGCAUCUACGCUGCAGAUCAGUGUGUGGAAGAGACUAUCCAAGCUGCCACGCUCUGCUCCACACCCAUCUUCCCUGGCUGCAGAGUGAACCCAUUGUGCUACUGGCCUAUAUCCCUUGCUCAGUCUGUCUUGGCUGAUCUGAGAAGAUUUUGGGAAGGAGAGAAUCUGCAUUUGGACGCUCCCAGGGCUCUCUCUUUAAAGUCUCCCAGUUGUGUACAGCCCUCUCCAUACCCCAUGUCAUGUGGUGCUUUUCCUGUUUCCUGUUUUAGCUGUCGAGGACCCUUGUAGGGAAUCCAAAACACUGGAACCCUAAAGAGACGUUUCAUGGCAGGGCAGGGCCUGAACUAGGACAAGCCGUAACCCCCAAAAGGGCUGUGGAUCUAAAUGUCUCAUCUUUUACAUUUGAAUCUGAACUCCAGCAUUGCUCCCAUCUAACUUUUAUAUCUGUCUGUCAUCAAGCUGUCUGCAAAGCCACGUUUUAUGUAACCUGUACUGAACUCUUCAAUAAAAGUCUAAUAAAGAUCCUA
Molecule: RNA transcript, 4603 nt
Organism: Chelonia mydas (Green sea turtle)
Lineage: Eukaryota; Metazoa; Chordata; Testudines; Cheloniidae
Gene name: cytoskeleton-associated protein 2
Exons: 7
Source: RefSeq, a predicted model, not a curated record